AAAAAUUCAAUAUGAUUGACCAUUAAAAGUUAAGUAGCCAGUUACUGUUUUUGUUUUAUUUUUCCGCUUUACGAUGUUUUAAUCAUUAUUAUUAGUUUACUGUUUAAGUAUUGUUUUAAGUACUUUUUUUGUGUACUAUUUAAGCGUUCUUUCAAGAGUGUUGUACAGCAAUAGUAUAUUUGUAUUACACUGACGUGGACUGUAUGUAUAGACUUUUUUUCCAUUUAUUAAAAUGGACGACAAUGAUUUGGAAGUACUUGAUUGUUCCGAAACACCUCGUGAAACACCGGAACCAUCUGAACGGACGUCAAAUAUUGCUGUAGACUUGGCUAUGAGUCCAGCCAGCGUGUUGGGCAGUCGUAGACCAUCGAUUGAUGGGAUGUCCAGCACGUGUACAUCACAGUCAGAAGUACGCUCAUUUAAAGAUCGUCUCAGAGAACAUGUUAAUCAAGUCAAGGAAAGAGCCUCCAACACGGUGGUAGUGGAACAAACUAAAACUAAAGUUCAACAAAAUAUCAAACAACCUGCUGAACGUCUAGCCCAAUUGAUGAGUUCAGAAAAUCAGGCAAUUGCUGCUGCAUUAGAGAAACAUGAAAAGGAUAAGAUCAGUAAAAAUGUGGUCAUAAACAAUAUGCAAGAGAUAGAUCAUGAAAUUGAAAGCUACAAUUUUUUCACUAAAGUAUGGGAUCUUCCUUCUAAAACUGAAGAAAUACAUGAAAAAUCAGCCGAAUCUAGCGAUGCAGAAGUUGGAUUUUCCAAUGAAGAAAAUAAAAAACUAGUCACAGAAGAUUAUUUAGGACUGACAGAUGGGGAGGAUGUCGAUGUCUUAGAUCAUUCGUUAGUACCAUUUUUGGAAACAUCAAUAAAAAUAAAAGAAGCAGCUGAGAAAAUUUAUUUUAUUCCAGAUGGAUCACAAGUGGAUCUUGCAAAACGGCUGAAUUCGAGACAACCAAGAUAUCUAGAGAGAGAAGGAAUUUAUGUUGGUACAUAUCCUCCAACCCAUGAAAAAUGUCUAAAUAAACUUCAACAAAGACUUCUUAAGGCUAAUGAAUUCCAUUGGUUUGGUGAAGAUGGUGAACCAAUUAGAUUAGCUGAUCCUUUGACUAGCCCAUCUAGCAAUUUUUUAGACUCAACUGAAAACAAUGGGUAUUUGGAUAUUAAGUACAUAAGCGCAAUGCCAUUUAAGAGCCCCUACAGUUUCAACGAUGACUCCCAAGAUUCUAAAGAAAUAAAAUUUCUUUUAGAAUUAGAAAUUUCAAAAAUUCAGUUUAGUCAUCAUGCUCUUUUUAGUCGACAACAUGUUUUAGACAAGCGAUUGUUACAACUGUAUGAUAAAUAUAAGUGUCGUCAAGAUAUUGCAAGAACAAAAAUGUUGGCUGGAAGGUUGGAGGCGUUACGCAAUGCUAAAGAUACUUUGGUUAAGGUUAUGGCAGAAGAAAACAAUAAAGAUUUGCUGGAAAAUCAUGAAAAUCGUUUACAUAGGUAUAAAACAGAAAUUAAAGAAACUCGAGCUCAGAGAUUGCUGGAAGGCAAAUCUGAUCGAUCUCUAGUAUCUAAUAUUUUGGAAACUUGGAGAGACUUAAAAAAAUUAAGAGAAAGGCAAGAAUAUGUUGUUACUAGCACUAAAUUGGAAAUAAUUGUUGAUGAUCACGAUAAUACUGAGGAAUGGGAAACAGAGUUCAACAGGUUAGUAGCAGAGACUCUUGAGGAAAUGGGGGAGAAAAAAAUUGAAACUAAUAUUCCUAAAGUCCGAGAUCAGGUGUUCAGUAUUCUCUCAGAUUCAUUGAGAUCACCAGGAGAACCGAUUAUUACAUUUAUUAUGUCUAAAAUUGAACCUACUUCUGAAGAUUCUAUUACUGCAAAAGACGAGCUUCAACGAAGAUUGACAUUGUCUAAAUAUUCAAUUUGGUUUGAUGUGAUAUUCAAUGGUCAUAUAGUAUGUGAAUCUACUUUGCUACCAAUCGAUGACAGUUUUUCUGUUGAUGUUAAUCAGAAAUUUGUUGUUGAAAUUCAUCAGUGGCCUAAUACAUUGUCAUUGAACAUACAUUGCGAAAACCUCAGUUCAAAAAAUAUGUUUACAAAAAAUCCUAUAGCAGAACUUUACAUACCAUUUCCCUUGAGCAAUACUACAUUAGAUGUUGUUGAUAUAGAAAACUUGGAGUUCAGUUGUUUUGGCAAUCAGAGCUUUCAAAAUGCUGGUGUUGGUAGUGGUGUGGAAUUUAAAGUAUUUCCAGAAGACAUGGAAACUCAAUGUUUGUAUACAUCUGGUGAAGUUUUGUGUAAGGCUGGUUGGGGCACAUUUAAUGAUAAAAUAUUAUGCCCUCCUGAAAAUUACUUUAAUAGAAUUUAUUCACAAAAUACCAAUAUUUUUUCAACUAAAACAGAGAAGAUUUUGAGUUUGAUGAAUGAUUUGCAUCCAGAUCCAAACGAUCCAAACAAUGUAUCAUUUUUUGAGGCUCUAAAAAAUGUCGAUGAAGAAAUGAUUUCUAAAAUGAAUUCAAAGUUUAGUGUUAACAUAUAUAAAAAAAUGUUGGAAUUUUGUUCAGAAGAAGAAUUAGAUUCUAAUCCUAGGCUAAAGUUAUUAAAACUACGUGAUCGCGGAGAAAUAGAAUUUAGAAUGGCCAAAGCUGUUCCAUUAAAAGAAUGGCUUAUACCAAAAGACAUAUUUAAUGAAUUUGAAAAUCGUGUGGCAACUUCUGAGCUAGCACUUGAAGUUGCUGGUCUUGGACCUUUGGAAACUAGUAGAAUCUGGGGGCGUUAUUCAGUUAUCAAACUUUAUGACAAGAUCCUAAAGCAAUGUAAGCUUGGUAAUAGGAAUAAAAUAACCAGAGACAUCAUUGUUGAAGACACUGUACCUGACAUUGGAACCUUAGGUUUGACAUUCAUGAAAAUGUUUCAGCCCAAACGACCAUUACGUCCUAAAAGAAAAGAAAGAAAGAAAAUACCUGCUAAAAGCUUAUCAGGACAAGAAAUCAAAGUUGUUAUCAAUGUUAUGAGAGCUUUUGAGGUACCCGUGAGAAAAAAUUCUGAUAUGAUGAUGGGAGAUAUAGCAAUGAUUCCAGUACAGCCAUUUAUUGAAAUAUCUUUUAAGAAUCAAACAAGUAGAACAACUACAGCUGAAGGCUCUAAUCCAACAUGGAACCAAGAUUUACAACUGAUUGUGAGAUCAAAUUCAGUUGAUUUAUGUCCUAACGAAGUUCAAUCUAUUGAUGACUGCAUUCAUAUAAAUAUGUAUGAUGAAAUAGUUAUUGAUAUACUAGAAGAUGGUAGAACCCGAGAAACAAACAUACAUCAACGUUUGGAGAGACAUUGGUUAGGAAGUUGUGUAAUACCUAUAUCAGCAUUAUUCAAUAGCUCUCAAAUUGAGGGAAUAUUUCAAAUGAACACACCUAGACACCUCUUGGGAUAUGAAAGACUUGUGUCAAAUUCUGAAAGCUCUCAUUAUAGGAACUCAACUUUUCUGAGCUUAUUUAUUAUGGUCCAGCCUCCACUGCAUCAUCCUGAACCUAUUAUGGAAAGAUUGGACUGCAGCGAAUCGUUUAAUUUUGAGCGAUAUUUAGAGUAUUGGUCUGCAGAAGGGGCUAAACAGUUUCCCCGAAGGCCCGUGAAAACAUUAGUGAUACACUGCAGCGGUAAAUCUGUUUGUGUAACUAGAUUCUUUAGGCCGUUGCCGCUCCCUGCAACUGUUGGGCUUGCUGUUCGGCGGCGGUUCCGGUAUCGAUCAUGGUCUGUUGCUGUGCUGUUACUUCGCCAAGCUAAAUAUCCGGUCUUGGCUGCUGCUGGGCACCGGCGUAUCCCGGGGCGAAGCCGCUUACGUGCUAACAUCGCGCCCGGCGCCUGACCAACCGACGGCCGGGCCUGUGUACGACAUCUGGGACCCGCUCACCGGUCAGAAGUACUCUACUUGCGAUAGCUUUUCACCCGUACAGGAAGCAUACUGUUUGAUUAAUGCUGAAAAUAUCUGGCUGAAUGUCCAGUACGAGAAAUCUGUGCCCAGGACCCGGUGGGACGUGACUCAGACACGGGACUGGAACCCAGCUUUCGGUCGAUAUCAGGCGGCGCCCACGGUAGCAGGUUCCGUGCAGCCAGACACUG
Molecule: unclassified non-coding RNA, 4095 nt
Filed under: Rhopalosiphum maidis (corn leaf aphid)
Lineage: Eukaryota; Metazoa; Arthropoda; Insecta; Hemiptera; Aphididae
Description: coiled-coil and C2 domain-containing protein 2A, transcript variant X2
Source: RNAcentral